RNAcentral lists this ribosomal RNA (251 nucleotides) under uncultured prokaryote. Its description in RNAcentral is "partial 16S ribosomal RNA". It matches the Rfam family "Bacterial small subunit ribosomal RNA", at positions 525 to 775 of the family's 1533-position model. The record is from RNAcentral.
ACGUAGGGUGCGAGCGUUAAUCGGAAUUACUGGGCGUAAAGCGUGCGCAGGCGGUUAGCUAAGACAGGGGUGAAAUCCCCGGGCUUAACCCGGGAAUUGCGCCUGUGACUGGGGGGCUAGAGUACUGGAGAGGGGGGUGGAAUUCCACGUGUAGAGGUGAAAUGCGUAGAUAUGUGGAGGAACACCAGUGGCGAAGGCGACCCCCUGGGCCGAUAUUGACGCUGAGGCGCGAAAGCGUGGGGAGCAAACAG